CUCAUUCGGCUGUGUGUCAGCGGUUGGUCUGGCUGGUUUUGCCUUGGACUCUACUCUGGAUCUGUUGUGGUCUGCUGGCUGUGGCCGGGCUGGCCUGCGUCUCAUGUUCAGCUUAAGUGAGCUGAUUUUGUCUGCUCCCUGGAUGGUAUCAUCUGGCUGUGUCUCCUUCCUCCCUGCAUGAGGGGGAGCUUGUCACCUGGCAUAGAGGUUGACUGUGCGCUGCAGCGUGUCGUCCCUUCCCGCAGUGCUCCUGGCUACACUGCUGUCUUGUCUAGAUUCGGGGUUUGGCUCACCCUGGGUUUUAUUAAUCUUAAUUGCUGCUUUUAAGAACUGCCAGUCCUGUGUCUUCUCACCCUGGAAUCCAGCAAUACGCCUGGCUCACCAGUUGUGGUUCCAGGGGGCGAACGUUAGGACCUCACCUACUCUGGUGACUAAGGGCAAGAUUGAGCUCGUUGGUCCCACGGUACAGCCUGCUUCCUGGACUUUUGUGUGGCUUUAUUUUUGUUUGUUUGCUGUGGUUUGAAUUGUGUUGUAUUAAUUUUUGUCCAUUUUUCAGGUUGUUCGUUGUUUACCUCCCAGUUCUCCACCCCUUGGUACCAAGUGGUUGAAUUCUUUUAAUUGUUUUAGUAGCUACUGUUAAUAAACUAAUUUUUAAGGUCAAUCACAUUCUGUUGUCCUGGUGCAUCGG
Melanotaenia boesemani (Boeseman's rainbowfish) is the source of this 688-nucleotide long non-coding RNA. RefSeq lists it as uncharacterized. The transcript has 3 exons. The record is from RefSeq and is a predicted model, not a curated record. NCBI's taxonomy places the organism in Eukaryota, Metazoa, Chordata, Actinopteri, Atheriniformes, Melanotaeniidae.